CACAGAUGAUGAGCCUAUUGACGGGCGGACAGAGAACGCUGUGCUGAUUGUCAAUGUUCUGAUGGG
Loxodonta africana (African savanna elephant) is the source of this 66-nucleotide small nucleolar RNA. Ensembl annotates it as small nucleolar RNA SNORD43. Its record names the gene SNORD43. The record is from Ensembl. Lineage: Eukaryota; Metazoa; Chordata; Mammalia; Proboscidea; Elephantidae.